UAGAAGGUGGUGUAGUGGAAGCACCUGGAGUUUUGAUCUCUUGGGUAUGGGUUCGAAUCCCAUUUUUCUAG
RNAcentral lists this transfer RNA (71 nucleotides) under Sternopygus dariensis. RNAcentral's name for it is "tRNA-Gln". It matches the Rfam family "tRNA". From Rfam's summary of the family: Transfer RNA (tRNA) molecules are approximately 80 nucleotides in length. Their secondary structure includes four short double-helical elements and three loops (D, anti-codon, and T loops). Further hydrogen bonds mediate the characteristic L-shaped molecular structure. tRNAs have two regions of fundamental functional importance: the anti-codon, which is responsible for specific mRNA codon recognition, and the 3' end, to which the tRNAs corresponding amino acid is attached (by aminoacyl-tRNA synthetases). tRNAs cope with the degeneracy of the genetic code in two manners: having more than one tRNA (with a specific anti-codon) for a particular amino acid; and 'wobble' base-pairing, i.e. permitting non-standard base-pairing at the 3rd anti-codon position. The record is from RNAcentral. Lineage: Eukaryota; Metazoa; Chordata; Actinopteri; Gymnotiformes; Sternopygidae.